GGAUGCGAGAGUAAUCUGUCUGUGACACUUGCCACCCCAAUGACUGCGGGGCCAAACAGGCUGACCUGGCAGAUGGCUUCCUCCUCUCUCACUACUCAUGCACACCCCUCCUACAUUUGUGCACGCAGUUGAAAAGGACACCCUUCCCCAACAGAGGAGGCCUGUUUUGGGGCCAAGAGUAUGGAAUAGCUGUGCUCCCUGGUACACCUUUCAAACAAGCUCUCAAAGUCCACUUGCAGAAGAACGUAGGGUAGCCAAGCUUCCAAGACUCCGCAAAUAUCCAAAUGAGGUGCUGCAUGUAGCAAUCGGUCCUUU
This 315-nucleotide small nuclear RNA is filed under the name Chinchilla lanigera (long-tailed chinchilla). RNAcentral describes it as "7SK RNA (ENSCLAG00000021854.1)". It matches the Rfam family "7SK RNA". From Rfam's summary of the family: 7SK was discovered as an abundant small nuclear RNA in the mid-70s but a possible function has only recently been suggested. Two independent studies have found that 7SK RNA binds the CDK9/cyclin T complex (known as elongation factor P-TEFb). The record is from Rfam by way of RNAcentral. Lineage: Eukaryota; Metazoa; Chordata; Mammalia; Rodentia; Chinchillidae.